GAUGAAGAACGUAGCGAAAUGCGAUAAGUAAUGUGAAUUGCAGAAUCCAGUGAAUCAUCGAAUCUUUGAACGCACAUUGCGCCCGCCAGCAUUCUGGCGGGCAUGCCUGUUCGAGCGUCAUUUCAACCCUCGACCUCCCCUUGGGGAGGUCGGCGUUGGGGACCGGCAGCACACCGCCGGCCCUGAAAUGGAGUGGCGGCCCGUCCGCGGCGACCUCUGCGUAGUAAUACAGCUCGCACCGGAACCCCGACGCGGCCACGCCGUAAAACACCCAACUUCUGAACGUUGACCUCGAAUCAGGUAGGACUACCCGCUGAACUUAAGCAUAUCAAUAGCGGAGGA
This 342-nucleotide unclassified non-coding RNA is filed under the name soil metagenome. Its description in RNAcentral is "partial contains 5.8S ribosomal RNA, internal transcribed spacer 2, and large subunit ribosomal RNA". The stretch from base 1 to 120 matches the Rfam family "5.8S ribosomal RNA", at positions 35 to 154 of the family's 154-position model. The record is from RNAcentral.